RNAcentral lists this ribosomal RNA (296 nucleotides) under uncultured Allobrachymonas sp. RNAcentral's name for it is "uncultured Brachymonas sp. partial 16S ribosomal RNA". It matches the Rfam family "Bacterial small subunit ribosomal RNA", at positions 1080 to 1382 of the family's 1533-position model. The record is from RNAcentral. Lineage: Bacteria; Pseudomonadati; Pseudomonadota; Betaproteobacteria; Burkholderiales; Comamonadaceae.
UUAAGUCCCGCAACGAGCGCAACCCUUGCCAUUAGUUGCUACGAAAGGGCACGUCUAAUGGGACUGCCGGUGACAAACCGGAGGAAGGUGGGGAUGACGUCAAGUCCUCAUGGCCCUUAUAGGUGGGGCUACACACGUCAUACAAUGGCCGGUACAGAGGGUAGCCAACCCGCGAGGGGAGCCAAUCCCACAAAGCCGGUCGUAGUCCGGAUCGCAGUCUGCAACUCGACUGCGUGAAGUCGGAAUCGCUAGUAAUCGCGGAUCAGCAUGUCGCGGUGAAUACGUUCCCGGGUCUU